Neofelis nebulosa (Clouded leopard) is the source of this 3528-nucleotide long non-coding RNA. RefSeq lists it as uncharacterized. The record is from RefSeq and is a predicted model, not a curated record. The transcript is spliced from 2 exons. NCBI's taxonomy places the organism in Eukaryota, Metazoa, Chordata, Mammalia, Carnivora, Felidae.
GAGGUCAACCCCUACCAGGAAGCAAAUGAUCCACCUUGUGACGAAUCCUCAGAGGGUCAAUCGUAGCCUAACCUGAGGUCACAGCGCCUAAGUCACUCACAGCACUUCAUGUCAUUGUGUGGACAUUUUAUCACCUCCCGUCACCACAAGAAGGCAUAUCAUCAUCCCGUGUCAAUAGGUAGGUUUCCACAUCAGUAUUUUUAAAGGUGUGUAUUAACCAAUUUUACUAUAAUUUAAUCAAUUUCUUAUAUUGUUGAAUAUAUAGGUUGUUUUAACAUUUUUACCAUUAUAUACAAUGUUGCUGUUGACAUUCUCACAGUUAAGUCUUUAACUUCAUUAUCUUACAUGUCUGGUAGAAUUUGAGGGAGAAAAGAUACGUAUAUUCUAAGUUUUUUGUUGUUACUGAAUGCCAAAUUACAUUCAGUUCAGUAUAACUGAAACUUAUAGAAGAUUUAAUAAUAGUUUGAAAUUCUAUCAGUAAUGCAAAAGAGUGUUUUCUUCUACUUUAACAGUAGAUAUUAUUAAAAACAAAAAAAAAACAUGUUGAUUUGAUAAACAAGAAUGGUAUCUCCUUUGAUUUUUACACGUUUGGUCACUAACAAUGUUUGUGUGUGUGUGUGUUUAUUGACCAUUUGCACAUCUUUUCCUUUUUAAAUAUUGUAUGUUAAUGUUCUUGUUCAUUAUUCUUUCGAGCACAAAGUUUUAGAGAAGGCUGAAUUAUUUCAUAAAAUACAAAUAAACCUGAAAUGAAUGAGAAGUAGAAUUUACCUUUUUAUACUAUUUAUCUUUUUGCAAUGUCACCUAAAAUAAUCACUGUCAUCUAAAAUUUUACUUUAGGGAAAGAAGACUCUGAAACAUAAGUAAAAAUUAGCUUAAAAUGCAGGAUAAAAGGGGCGCCUGGGUGACUCAGUUGGUUAAGCAUCUGACUUCGGCUCAGGUCAUGAUCUCACAGUUUGUUAGUUCAAGCCCCAUGUCGGGCUCUGUGCUGACAGCUCAGAGCCUGGAGCCUGCUUCGAUUCUGUGUCUCCCUCUCUCUGCCCCUUCCCCAGCUCUCUCUCUCUCUCUCUCUCUCUCUCUCUCUCUCUCUCUCUCUCUCAAAAGUAAAUAAACAUUAAAAAAAUUGUUUUUAAUGCGAGUAACAAAAUUCUUUUUCAUAUGGCUGCCUCAAUCUUAACAUACCUGCUUCAGAUUUUCCAAGACUUCAUGCCCAACCCUGAUUCCAUGAUAUUUGGAUGAUGAUAGGUCUGUGAAUUGCCAGAACUACUCCAACAGCAAAGAAAGGUCCUUUGAGUAAUAGCAAAAUCAAUGGGGAUGUCAUCCUCAAGGUUUUGAAAAUCAACGAUAAAUUGUCCAUGGUAGUAGUUGGUCUUGCUUAAUUUUCUUCUGUUUCCAGCUGAUUAUCAGUGAACAAAUAUUUUCAAUGUUUUGGAACAGAGAUUUCAAAUUUACAGCCUGAGGGAUGGAUUCAUUCAUAAUUUACUCUCUAUUCUCUUAUCCUGCUCUAUUUUCCUGUUGGUACUCACAACUAAUUAAUAUUAUAUAGCUAUUUGUUAUCUCUCCACUCCAAUGGAAUGUAAGAUCCACAAAUGCAGAAACUCUUUUAAUAACUGUAUCCCUGAUUCCUAGCAUAUAGUGGACUCUCAGAAAGUAUUUGUUGGAUGCAUGCAUUCAGUAAUCAUUCACUAAACCCUCACUGCAUCCCAGACACUGGGCUAUCAAGACUUGGGAUGUAAAAUUGCUUGCUCGGCUCGCAGAGUGUCUUUAACGUGUGAUACUCAUUUUUUUUUUAAUGUUUAUUUAUUUUUGAGAGAAACAAAGACAGAGCACACGCAGGGGAGGGGCAGAGAGAGAAGGAGAUCCAGAAUCUGAAGCAGGCUCCAGGCAAUGAGCUGUCAGCACAGAGCCUGACACGGGGCUCUGAGAUCAUGACCUAAGCCAAAAUCGGAUGCUUCACUGACUGAGCCACCCAGACGCCCCAACAUGUGAUACUCAUUAAAACCAGAUGGAAAACAAUGGGAAUGUUUGGAAAUAAAAUCUGCAUGUUGUGCCAGUGUGUAAAUUCAUUACCCAUCCAUCCAUCCAUUCAUUUCACAACCGUUUUCAGAGUCUACCUGCUUGUUACUGGGGACAAAAUAUCAAAGACAGACUGUGUCUCUGUAGAAAUGGCGUUUCUAGUCUAUCCAGAGAGACAGACAUUAAAUAAUAAUUACAACCGUGCCAAGUGCAGGAGAAAAGUGCAGGUGCACUUAUGAUGUUUCCCUGAGAAAAUGAGACUUAAACUUCUACCAAAGAGGUUAGAAGUUUAACAGGGGGAAGGAAGGCAAGAACAAUGCAGUUAAAGAAAACCACUUCUCAGGAAGGAGUCUGCUGUAUUAUAAGAACAAGGAAGAAAUGACAGCUCAGACCCAAGGAGGUAGAAGGGGGCCACACCGUUGUGCGGACCACGUGAAGGAUGCCUGCUUGGCUCCGUGGAUAAGCCAAGGCUUCCAAGCAGAGGAUCGGACUUCUCUGCUUAACAGACUACGGAGGUAUGGCCGGGUCCCUGUGUGGAACUGGAAGGGAGGACAGCUUCGAGAGAUACUGAGGAGGUUUACCUGGAACACUGACAACACUGAUUGGAAGGGCCUGGGGAAGGAGAAGUGUGUGAGACACAUACCAGGGUUCCUGGCUUGAACCACAGGGUGGGUGAUGGUACCUUUACUGGGAUGAGGAAUGUCAGGGAGACCCUCGUUUUGGAGGAUGAGUUCAAUGCCCAUCUAUGAAUGUACAUGACUGGAACACAAGUUUCAGAAACACGGUUACCCUUUACUGUGUGUGAUGCAACCUGAUAUUUUUUUAAAUCAACAUGAUGGAAGGGUAUUUUACAUAUAGUAAAGUAUAUCCAUUUUACAUGUUUAGUUUAAUGAGUUGUGAUAAAUGUAUAUACCUCUGCAUACCACUGCAUUCAAAUUAAAAUUUCUAUCACCUCCAAAAAUUCCCCAUCAUCCAUGUGCGGUUAAUUACUCUUCAUCCCUGGCCACAGGUUUUUGGAUGAGUCUGCAUUGUCCACAAUUUCACAUAAUUGGAAUUACACAGUAUACACAUUCAUUUAUAUGUGACAUCUUUCACUCAGCAUAAUGUUUCUGAGAUUCAUCUAUGACAGCAGUCCACACUAUGGCCUAUUUUUAAAAAAAUUUUUUAAUAUUUAUUUCUUUAUUUAUUUUGAGAGAGAGCAUUCAUGAGAGUGGGAAAAGAGCAGAGAGAGACAGAGGGAGAGAAAAUCCCAAGCAGGAUCCAUGCUGUCAGCAAAGAACCCGGCACGGGUCUCAAACUCACGAACCAUGACCUGAGCCGAAAUCAAGAGUUGGAUGUUCAGCCCACUGAGCCACCCAGGCGCCCCCACUACCUACUUAUAGAAAGGUCUAAGAGCUAAGAAUGGCUUUCUAUUUUCAAAUGGUUGGGAAAACACUGGAAAAGAACAUUUUAUGAUGUGGAAAUUGUAUUAAAUUCAAAAUUCAGUGUCCAUGAAUAAAUUUUUAUUGGAACAUA